RNAcentral lists this ribosomal RNA (496 nucleotides) under uncultured microorganism. Its description in RNAcentral is "bacterial SSU rRNA". It matches the Rfam family "Archaeal small subunit ribosomal RNA", at positions 234 to 734 of the family's 1478-position model. The record is from RNAcentral.
UGUUGGGGUAACGGCCCAACAAGCCUUUGAUCGGUACGGGUUGUGGGAGCAAGAGCCCGGAGAUGGAUUCUGAGACAUGAAUCCAGGCCCUACGGGGCGCAGCAGGCGCGAAAACUUUACAAUGCGAGCAAUCGUGAUAAGGAAACCCUGAGUGCCUGUCAAUGCAGGCUGUUCUGGUGUCUAACACACACCAGGAGAAAGGGCGGGGCAAGACCGGUGCCAGCCGCCGCGGUAAUACCGGCUGCUCGAGUGAUAGCCACUUUUACUGGGCUUAAAGCGUUCGUAGCUUGGUCGUUAAGUCUCUGGGGAAAUCUUUUGGCUCAACCAAAAGGCGUCUCAGGGAAACUGGCGAUCUUGGAACCGGGAGAGGUAAGACGUACUUCGGGGGUAGGAGUGAAAUCUUGUAAUCCCCGAGGGACGACCGAUGGCGAAGGCAUCUUACCAGAACGGCUUCGACAGUGAGGGACGAAAGCUGGGGGAGCAAACCGGAUUAGAU